Molecule: non-coding RNA, 45 nt
Organism: Schistosoma rodhaini
Lineage: Eukaryota; Metazoa; Platyhelminthes; Trematoda; Strigeidida; Schistosomatidae
Source: Rfam
AUUCAGCUGACGAGUCCCAAAUAGGACGAAACGCACGUCCUUAAU